CUCGGCGUAGCAAAUCGGAUAUGCAACGGUCUCAUACGCCGUCCCAAGUGAGUUCGACUCUCACCGCCGAGACCA
This 75-nucleotide transfer RNA is filed under the name Thioploca sp. RNAcentral's name for it is "tRNA-Met". It matches the Rfam family "tRNA". From Rfam's summary of the family: Transfer RNA (tRNA) molecules are approximately 80 nucleotides in length. The record is from RNAcentral. Lineage: Bacteria; Pseudomonadati; Pseudomonadota; Gammaproteobacteria; Thiotrichales; Thiotrichaceae.